Molecule: ribosomal RNA, 447 nt
Filed under: uncultured bacterium
Lineage: Bacteria
Description: SSU rRNA
Rfam family: Bacterial small subunit ribosomal RNA
Source: RNAcentral
AGAGCGAACGCUGGCGGCAGGCCUAACACAUGCAAGUCGAGCGCCCGUAGCAAUACGGGAGCGGCAGACGGGAUAGUAACACGUGGGAACGCGCCCUUCGGUUCGGAAUAACUCAGGGAAACUUGAGCUAAUACCGGAUACGCCCUUACGGGGAAAGAUUUAUUGCCGAAGGAACGGCCCGCGUCCGAUUAGCUAGUUGGUGAGGUAAUGGCUCACCAAGGCGACGAUCGGUAGCUGGUCUGAGAGGAUGACCAGCAUCACUGGGACUGAGACACGGCCCAGACUCCUACGGGAGGCAGCAGUGGGGAAUAUUGGACAAUGGGCGCAAGCCUGAUCCAGCCAUGCCGCGUGGAUGAUGGAGGCCUUAGGGUUGUAAAGUCCGUUUUAACGGGGAAGAUAAUGACGGUACCGUAGAAUAAGCCCGGCUAACUUCGCGCCAGCAGCCGC